CAGCCAUGGAGGGAGCUCCUGAAGCUGC
RNAcentral lists this non-coding RNA (28 nucleotides) under Homo sapiens (human). Lineage: Eukaryota; Metazoa; Chordata; Mammalia; Primates; Hominidae. The record is from RNAcentral.